Molecule: ribosomal RNA, 465 nt
Filed under: Vreelandella stevensii
Lineage: Bacteria; Pseudomonadati; Pseudomonadota; Gammaproteobacteria; Oceanospirillales; Halomonadaceae
Description: partial 16S ribosomal RNA
Rfam family: Bacterial small subunit ribosomal RNA
Source: RNAcentral
CCUACGGGUGGCAGCAGUGGGGAAUAUUGGACAAUGGGGGGAACCCUGAUCCAGCCAUGCCGCGUGUGUGAAGAAGGCCCUCGGGUUGUAAAGCACUUUCAGUGAGGAAGAACGCCUGGUGGUUAAUACCCAUCAGGAAAGACAUCACUCACAGAAGAAGCACCGGCUAACUCCGUGCCAGCAGCCGCGGUAAUACGGAGGGUGCGAGCGUUAAUCGGAAUUACUGGGCGUAAAGCGCGCGUAGGUGGCUUGAUAAGCCGGUUGUGAAAGCCCCGGGCUCAACCUGGGAACGGCAUCCGGAACUGUCAAGCUAGAGUGCAGGAGAGGAAGGUAGAAUUCCCGGUGUAGCGGCGAAAUGCGUAGAGAUCGGGAGGAAUACCAGUGGCGAAGGCGGCCUUCUGGACUGACACUGACACUGAGGUGCGAAAGCGUGGGUAGCAAACAGGAUUAGAUACCCCUGUAGUC